GCAUCUUCGAAUUCAGACUGCCUAAGCCAUUCCAUUAGCAAAAAUUCAAAGGCAUCCUUUUGGUGGUUCUUCACUGCAACGUGUAAAGCAGUAUCGCCUUGAAAGGUAACAUCUUUAAUAGAUUCGGGGCAGCCUUUAUAGCAUUCUCUCAAAAUGGACAAGUUUCCUUGUUCAGCUGCAUAAUGCAAAGGAGUGCAACCUCCUUUUCCUUUGACACGGACAAGGUUUCCAUCAACAUCGAUGAGCCACUUCACCAUUAGCAUGUCCUUAUUCUGCAAAGCACAGUGCAUGGGGCUAAACCCAUCUGGGUUUA
Molecule: unclassified non-coding RNA, 313 nt
Filed under: Hevea brasiliensis (rubber tree)
Lineage: Eukaryota; Viridiplantae; Streptophyta; Magnoliopsida; Malpighiales; Euphorbiaceae
Source: RNAcentral